UGGGGAAUAUUGCGCAAUGGAGGCAACUCUGACGCAGCCAUGCCGCGUGUGUGAAGAAGGCCCUCGGGUUGUAAAGCACUUUCAAUUGGGAGAAAAAGCUUGUCGUUAAUAGCGGCAAGCCUUGAUGUUACCUUUAGAAGAAGCACCGGCUAACUCCGUGCCAGCAGCCGCGGUAAUACGGAGGGUGCGAGCGUUAAUCGGAAUUACUGGGCGUAAAGCGCGCGUAGGCGGUUGCUUAAGUCGGAUGUGAAAGCCCCGGGCUCAACCUGGGAACUGCAUUCGAUACUGGGCGACUAGAGUACGAGAGAGGGAGGUAGAAUUCCACGUGUAGCGGUGAAAUGCGUAGAUAUGUGGAGGAAUACCGGUGGCGAAGGCGGCCGUCCUGGCUCGAUACUGACGCUGAGGUGCGAAAA
RNAcentral lists this ribosomal RNA (413 nucleotides) under uncultured bacterium. RNAcentral describes it as "bacterial SSU rRNA". It matches the Rfam family "Bacterial small subunit ribosomal RNA", at positions 355 to 759 of the family's 1533-position model. The record is from RNAcentral.